RNAcentral lists this ribosomal RNA (371 nucleotides) under uncultured bacterium. RNAcentral describes it as "partial 16S ribosomal RNA". It matches the Rfam family "Bacterial small subunit ribosomal RNA", at positions 338 to 706 of the family's 1533-position model. The record is from RNAcentral.
CCUACGGGAGGCAGCAGUGAGGAAUAUUGGUCAAUGGGCGCGAGCCUGAACCAGCCAAGUAGCGUGAAGGAUGACUGCCCUACGGGUUGUAAACUUCUUUUAUAAAGGAAUAAAGUGAGGCACGUGUGCCUUUUUGUAUGUACUUUAUGAAUAAGGAUCGGCUAACUCCGUGCCAGCAGCCGCGGUAAUACGGAGGAUCCGAGCGUUAUCCGGAUUUAUUGGGUUUAAAGGGAGCGUAGAUGGGUUGUUAAGUCAGUUGUGAAAGUUUGCGGAUCAAACGGAAAAUUGCAAUUGAUAGUUGCAGUCUUGAGUAAAGUUGAGGUAGGCGGAAUUCGGUGGGGAGCGGUGAAAUGGUUAGAUAUAACGAAGAA